This 495-nucleotide ribosomal RNA is filed under the name uncultured bacterium. Its description in RNAcentral is "partial 16S ribosomal RNA". It matches the Rfam family "Bacterial small subunit ribosomal RNA", at positions 28 to 507 of the family's 1533-position model. The record is from RNAcentral.
GAUGAACGCUGGCGGCGUGCUUAACACAUGCAAGUCGAACGAAGCACCUCUCCCGAAGAUUGACACAGCUUGCUGUAGAUUGAUUCAUUUGAGGUGACUGAGUGGCGGACGGGUGAGUAACGCGUGGGUAACCUGCCUCAUAGAGGGGGACAACAGUUGGAAACGACUGCUAAUACCGCAUAGUAAGAAGAAUUCGCAUGUUUUCUUCUUGAAAGAUUUAUCGCUAUGAGAUGGACCCGCGUCUGAUUAGCUAGUUGGUAAGGUAACGGCUUACCAAGGCGAAGAUAAGGAGCCGGAUUGAGAGAGGGAACGGCCACAUUGGGACUGAGACACGGCCCAAACUCCUACGGGAGGCAGCAGUGGGGAAUAUUGCACAAUGGGGGAAACCCUGAUGCAGCGACGCCGCGUGAGUGAAGAAGUAUUUCGGUAUGUAAAGCUCUAUCAGCAGGGAAGAUAAUGACGGUACCUGACUAAGAAGCCCCGGCUAACUACGUG